GUGAGAAUCCAGGAAGGCAGAGACAUGUCAGCUGUGAGAAGCAUAUCCAUGCAGUUAUUAUGGCCACAUGUAAUCUUUGCUGGGCUUUGUCAGCAUAUGAGCUGCUGAUGAGGAUGACUUCUUUCCCAACCAGGAAUGGUUUGUAUGGCUUUUCUGCAAGCUAUUGCUGGGAGUUUAGGUUUGGGGAUUCCUGAGGUGGGUGUAACUAGAAAAGGCUCUGGUUUAUCUUCACUCAGACUUUGAUGAUUUGAAAAGAUUAACAGGCAAAAUACUCAAAGAUUAAAAACAAACAAAUGGAAAAAGAAAGGAAGGAUGGAGAACUUGAAAGCAAGGAAGAAAUGACUUUUAGAUGGUCUAGUCUCUUGUCCUGUGUAGCUAUAAUGACUUCAUUGCACAUGAUCUCAGAUAGUAGGUUAAUUUGGUUCUGGGCCUGGUAUAUGUUUGUUCAAUUUUAUGUGGUCUCCUUAAUGCUGUAUGGAAUAUUGUAAAUUUGUAGUUAUUUAUUUAUGUAUAUAUUUACUUACUUAUUUAACUGUACACCUAGCAUAGAGACACAACUAGUUGGGUACUUAACAAAUAGAUAUAUGAGUUGCCAUAGCUACAAACUACUACUAACAGUAGGAUGUUCAUAGCCAUUUUCUUUUUCUUUUUUUUUUUUUUUUUUGAGAUGGAGUUUUGCUCUUGUUGCCCAGGCUGGAGUGCAAUGGUGCGAUCUCAGCUCACUGCAACCUCCACCUCCUAGGUGAUUCUCCUGCCUCAGCCUCCUGAAGAGCUGAGAUUACAGGCGCCUGCCACCAAGCCCAGCUAAUUUUUAUAUUUUUAGUAGAGAUGGAGUUUCACCAUGUUGGCCAGGCUGGUCUUGAACUCCUGACAUCAGGUGAUCCACCCGCCUCAGCCUCCCAGAGUGUUGGGAUUACAGGCAUGAGCCACCACGCCCGGCCCCCAUUUUUUUGAUAUUAAAAAUGCAAUGAAAAAAACAGAAGAAAGGGUUUAUUUGGCCAAAAAAACCAUAAUGACUUUAAGAUGUAUAAUUUAACACCAAUUUCUUCCUUAAAAAGUUAAAGGCCUGUGAUCAUUUUAAGUGAUAUGAUUAGGAGAAAUAAAAUUGUGUGAUGAAGUAGCCACUAUCAGGUUUCAGCUGCCUGGUUAGACUUCACCACAGGACUAGCCCUGUCUCAAAACAUCAGAUUCUGGUGUUGUGAAUAAGAAAGUAUCCCCCAGUAGUCCAUCCUUCUAUCAGGGGAAAUAACUUUCCUCCAGCAUUGAAUCACUUUUCUAGGUAGAAAGUUUUGGAUAUAACUCCUUCUGAAAUGUUCCUCCCCAGGCCAGACCCCUGAACUUUCCUGAGGAAAGGAAGUGGCCCACAACCUAUCUCUGCCUCAUGGUCUCCCUGCAGACUAGAAAAAAGAAAAUAAUACUAUCAGAAAACUUGAGUUCCACUCCUGGCCCAGCCACUCUUGUGCAAUGUAGAAAAAUUAACUUCAUUUCCCUGGACCUCAGGUCCUCAUGGAUGUAAAGAAGUGUGCUACUUGCUCUGAUACUUCAAAAGACAGUUUACAGAGUAGCAAAUAACGUCAUGAAAAGAAUGACGGCUUUGGAGUCAGCCAGAUCUGGUUCAUUCUUCAACAAAUCUUUAUUUAGCAUCUACUAUAUGCCAGGCGCUAUUCUUGGUGCCAGAUGCUGCCUACAUGAAGCUCACAUUUUAAUGUGGGGACCAAUACUAGUUUGUGGCCUUGGGCAAAUCAUUUAGCCCCUCUAAGCUUGUUUUUUCCACCUGUAAAAUGGACAUUAUAAUAACAUUUCAAGAUGCAUUGUCAGGAUUAGAUACAAUGAUAUUUAAAGCACCUAUUAUACACUAGAGGCUCAAUGAAUGGUAUGUAAAUAAUACUAUACGAUACAUGAUAAAACACUUUUUUCAAUUGUACGAUUCUAUCCAGAUAGGCAAAUUAUUAUUUUUUCAUCUCUGUACUGUGUGACUCUAAAGCCAUAGAUAAUCACAAAAUUACACUGCAGAUUUAAUAAAUUUACUUCUCUUUACUGCCUUAAAAGCAACUUCAUUUAUCAAAGAAAUAUUUUUUGAGUCUCUACUAUGCAUUAAAUACUAGGCUGGCACUAGGGAUAUGGAAAUAAAUGAGACUUCCCUGCCCUUACUUAGGAUCAUAGCAGUAAAUGUUUGGAUUUCACCAGGGUCCUCACUUUUGGAGAGCUUAUUCUUCUAGAGUUUGUAUUAGUUAUUGACUGUUUAGAAAGAAAUCAAGAAAGGAAAACAACCCUCUAAUUGGCAAGUGGGUUAAGCUAAAGUUUUCUUAGAGAGACCUAAAGCUGUGUAUAUAAGACCCCUGGCAAUCUCACUCUACUCAAAAUGAAACAGAUAGGAGAACACAUCUUUCCUAUAGAUGCCUUAGAGGUAAAAUUUCAAUCUACCAACAUCUUUUGCAACAAAAGAAAAUCAAUUAAGUUAUUUACUAUACCCAGCCAUGUGACCAGUGUUGUUACACAUAUUUCAGAGAUAUAAAUGAAAAUAAGGAGAUAUUCCUGGAGCUCAGCAGGAGACAUGACACCUGCCCUUGAGGCAGGAGGUAGAAUGUGUUCAUUUAUUUACUUAUUUAUUUAGUCACGAAAAAUCUGUUUAGUAACCAUGGCCUUUGAGGAAUCACACUGAGUGCUGGGAAUACUAAGUGGGAGAACCAAUAAAGUGGAAGAACAGUUAUUGAGCACCUAUUGUGCACCAGGCACUGUCCAUCAUUUUACCUCCAUCAUCUCAAUGCAUUUCCAUCAAUCCUAAAAGAAUUUUUUUCUAAAAAGGGUUGUAUGCUUUGACCUCAAGGUGUUCAUUGGGGUGUGAGAGGACAGAAAGCAUCAAUCCACAGCGAAAAGGAAUGCCAUGGAGGAAAAUGCCCAGAGCCAGUGAGCUCAGUAGAGGAGAGAAUGGUUCACUGUCCCCAGAGGGUAGGGGCAGGCUUUGAAGAGGUUGUGGCAUUCUAGUUUUUAAGCAGGAGCAACACAGGUGAAAGAGAUCACUACUAGAUAGGCAGGGAUACAGAUGACAGAGAGAUAGGAAUUGACAGCACAGACCAUUCAUGCUAUAGGAGCUGGCCAAACCCCAAGGCUCUCAGAGCACCAGGUUACCAGUUGCUUCCCAAGCAUUCACCCAGAGUAGUUGCUCAUCUGAGAAGCUCUGUUUCCCUGAAAUAAUGACACUGGGAUUCAGAUUUCUAGCCCAAUUCAUGGUGCACUUGGGGCCUCACUUAUAACCCAUUCUUGGUUUUAUGAAGCAAACAGUUUCCUUCUGCUCUGUGCUCUGUUUUAGAGUCAGGAGCUGAUCUUUGCACUGAUGCCAUGCUAGAUCUUUAUUUGUUUUGUGCUGAUGAGAUUUAGGAGUGAGAAGUGGAAAAUAAACUGAUCCUCUCUAUCUCCCACUACUGGGUUUUGAUAGAUAAAGUGGUCCUCUUGAAGUUUUUCUUCUUUCAUUUGGAAAGUGUCAUAAGAUGUAGGUUAAGCUGGGUGCGGUGGCUCACGCCUGUAAUCCCAGCACUUUGGAAGGUGGAGGUGGGCAGAUCACGAGGUCAAGAGAUCCAGACCAUCCUGGCCAACUUGGUGAAACCCCGUCUCUACUAAAAAUACAAAAAUCAGCUGGGCAUGGUGGCAGGCGCCUGUAAUCCCAGCUACUCAGGUGGCUGAGGCAGGAGAAUCUCUGGAACCUGGGAGGUGGAGGUUGCAGUGAGCUGAGAUCACUCCACUGUACUCCAGCCUGGUGACAGAGCAAGACUCCAUCUCAAAAAGAAAAAAAAAAGAUAUAGGUUAAGCAGUAAAGUGUGGUGCCAGGCUGGGAGUGGUGGCUCAGGCUUGUAAUCCCAGCACUUUGUGAAGCCAAGGCGGGGUGGAUCACCUGAGGUCAGGAGUUUGAGACCAUCCUGGCCAACAUGGUGAAACCCCAUCUAUACUAAAAAUACAAACAUUAGCAGGGCAUGAUGUCGCCUGGUGGUAGUCCCAGCUACCCAGGAGGCUGAGGCAGGAGAAUCGCUUAACCACGGGAGGCAGAGGUUGCAGUGAGCCAAGAUCGUGCCACUGUACUCCAGCCUGGGCGACAGAGUGAGACUCCAUCUCAAAAAAAAAAAAAAAAAGUGUGGCACCAGAUAGACAUAAGUUCAAAUCCCAGAUCUACUUCUUAUUAGUUGUGUGAUCUUGAGCAUUGACUUUUCACCCAAAUUUGGACCCAAAUUCUGAGAGGUGAGAUACAACUAUAAAUUUGGAGUGCACCAAGGAAAAAUUUAGAGAGCUCUUCUUUACUCCUCUGUUAUUGGAAUAAACAGGUAUAACUCAGUGAUCACAUCUAGAGCAUCAAGGCCAUAGAGAAAGAAAAAAGCAACCACAGGCUGGCUCUCUAACUAGUUUACUCUUCAUUGCCUAAUUCAGCAAGCUAAAUACCUGAUCCAAAAGGAAAUUAUUAAGAGUUUUUUGCAAUAAAUACUGUAUAUAGGCUCCACUUUAUCUUGGAGGUCUGUGAUUAUGUUUAGAAAACAGCUUUUAUUGAAAAGCUAAACUUAUGAAUAGGUAGGAGGCUAGAACUUUCGACCUACAAUAAUAAUAAUAGCAAUCAUAAUAACUUUGGGAGGCGUUUACUAUAAGCCAGGCACUAUUUUAAGCACUUUAUUAUGAAUUGAUUCAUUUAAUCUUAUAGUCAUCCUAUGAAAUAGGUACUAUCAUUAUCUCUAUUUUAAGAUAAGGAAAUUAGGCCAGGUACAAUGGCUCAUGUCUGUAUUCCCAACAUUUUGGGAAGCCAAAGUGGAAAGAUCCCUUGAGGCCAGGAGAUUGAGACCAGCCUGGGCAAAAAUGUGAGAACCUGUCUCUGCAAAAAAUUUAAAGAAUUAGCCAGGCAUGGUGGCCUGUGCCUAUAGUCCCAGCUGCUUGGGAGGCUGAGGCAGAAGGACUGCUUGAGCCUGGGAGGUCAAGGCUUACAGUGAGCCAUGAUAAUGCCACUGCACUGUAGCCUAUGCAACAGAGCAAGACUCUGUCUCAAAAAAAGAAAAAGAAAAAGAAAAAGGAAAUUGAGCCACAGAGAGGGACAGUGGCUUGCUGACUUGUCGGAGCCAGGAUUUUUACCUACGCUGUCUGCUUUAGAGCCUGUCAUGAACCUCUCUCCAGUUCUAUAAGCCAACUUCUUUUAAAAUAAUUAUAAUAAUAACAUUUUGUGUU
RNAcentral lists this long non-coding RNA (5196 nucleotides) under Homo sapiens (human). Its description in RNAcentral is "non-protein coding lnc-TLK1-1:3". Lineage: Eukaryota; Metazoa; Chordata; Mammalia; Primates; Hominidae. The record is from RNAcentral.